RNAcentral lists this ribosomal RNA (785 nucleotides) under Glaesserella parasuis. Its description in RNAcentral is "partial 23S ribosomal RNA". It matches the Rfam family "Bacterial large subunit ribosomal RNA", at positions 1042 to 1714 of the family's 2925-position model. The record is from RNAcentral. Lineage: Bacteria; Pseudomonadati; Pseudomonadota; Gammaproteobacteria; Pasteurellales; Pasteurellaceae.
AGGUCCCAAAGUCUAUAUUAAGUGGGAAACGAAGUGGGAAGGCUUAGACAGCUAGGAUGUUGGCUUAGAAGCAGCCAUCAUUUAAAGAAAGCGUAAUAGCUCACUAGUCGAGUCGGCCUGCGCGGAAGAUGUAACGGGGCUAAAAUAUAGCACCGAAGCUGCGGCAUCAGGCGUAUCACUAAUACGCCUUACGAUUAACAACAUCGAAUGAAGUGAAACGGAAUGAGAUGUUGGUCAAGCAACCCGAACGUUGAGUCGGAAAGUAAUCGAAGAGAGGAUUAUUAGUGAUACGUCUGUUGGGUAGGGGAGCGUUGUGUAAGCGGAUGAAGGUGAAUCGAGAGGUUUGCUGGACGUAUCACAAGUGCGAAUGCUGACAUAAGUAACGAUAAAACGAGUGAAAAACUCGUUCGCCGGAAGACCAAGGGUUCCUGUCCAACGUUAAUCGGGGCAGGGUGAGUCGGCCCCUAAGGCGAGGCUGAAAAGCGUAGUCGAUGGGAAACGGGUUAAUAUUCCCGUACUUGGUAAAGCUGCGAUGUGGGGACGGAGAAGGUUAGGUUAGCAGACUGUUGGAUGUCUGUUUAAGUUGGUAGGUGGGGAGUUUAGGCAAAUCCGGACUUCCAUAACACUGAGAGAUGAUGACGAGUUUCUACGGAAAUGAAGUAACUGAUACCACGCUUCCAGGAAAAGCCACUAAGCGAAAGGCUUUACUAAACCGUACUGAAAACCGACACAGGUGGUCAGGUAGAGAAUACUCAGGCGCUUGAGAGAACUCGGGUGAAGGAACU